RNAcentral lists this non-coding RNA (173 nucleotides) under Nitrospiraceae bacterium. RNAcentral's name for it is "6S RNA". It matches the Rfam family "6S / SsrS RNA". From Rfam's summary of the family: E. coli 6S RNA was the first non coding RNA to be sequenced, but its function was unknown until recently. Lineage: Bacteria; Pseudomonadati; Nitrospirota; Nitrospiria; Nitrospirales; Nitrospiraceae. The record is from RNAcentral.
AAUUACCUGCCUUGUUCGUGAUGGAAAGGAAACUUAUUCCGACCAUAUUAAUUCGGGGAGCUGGAAUUAGGUAAGUGUUGAGCCCCUUCGGGGAAGCCUGAUCUUACUUUCAAGGCACCCACCUGAAAAACAGGGUUUAUAGUUUCAUUUCUACACGGCAAGGUGGGAAUCAA